GUCUAUGGCCAUACCACCCUGAACAAGCCCCAUCCCGUCUGAUCUCAGAAGCUAAGCAGGGUCGGGCCUGGCUAGUACGUGGAUGGGAGACCACCUAGGAAGACCAGGUGCUGUAGGCG
RNAcentral lists this ribosomal RNA (119 nucleotides) under Pteropus alecto (black flying fox). The record is from RNAcentral. Lineage: Eukaryota; Metazoa; Chordata; Mammalia; Chiroptera; Pteropodidae.